Molecule: ribosomal RNA, 253 nt
Filed under: uncultured Rhizomicrobium sp.
Lineage: Bacteria; Pseudomonadati; Pseudomonadota; Alphaproteobacteria; Micropepsales; Micropepsaceae
Description: partial 16S ribosomal RNA
Rfam family: Bacterial small subunit ribosomal RNA
Source: RNAcentral
UACGAAGGGGGCUAGCGUUGUUCGGAAUUACUGGGCGUAAAGCGCGCGCAGGCGGUUCUCCAAGUCAGUGGUGAAAGCCCGGAGCUCAACUCCGGAAUUGCCAUUGAAACUGUUGAACUGGAGGACGAGAGAGGUGAGUGGAAUUCCCAGUGUAGAGGUGAAAUUCGUAGAUAUUGGGAAGAACACCGGUGGCGAAAGCGGCUCACUGGCUCGUUUCUGACGCUCAUGCGCGACAGCGUGGGGAUCAAACAGG